RNAcentral lists this ribosomal RNA (253 nucleotides) under uncultured bacterium. Its description in RNAcentral is "partial 16S ribosomal RNA". It matches the Rfam family "Bacterial small subunit ribosomal RNA", at positions 524 to 776 of the family's 1533-position model. The record is from RNAcentral.
UACGGGGGGGGCAAGCGUUGUUCGGAAUUACUGGGCGUAAAGGGCUCGUAGGCGGCCAACUAAGUCAGACGUGAAAUCCCUCGGCUUAACCGGGGAACUGCGUCUGAUACUGGAUGGCUUGAGUUUGGGAGAGGGAUGCGGAAUUCCAGGUGUAGCGGUGAAAUGCGUAGAUAUCUGGAGGAACACCGGUGGCGAAGGCGGGUCUCUGGGCAGUAACUGACGCUGAGGAGCGAAAUCGUGGGGAGCGAACAGG